Molecule: long non-coding RNA, 2985 nt
Organism: Chlorocebus sabaeus (green monkey)
Lineage: Eukaryota; Metazoa; Chordata; Mammalia; Primates; Cercopithecidae
Source: RefSeq, a predicted model, not a curated record
GAAUUCUGCCCUGAAGGUCAUGGCUCUUCUCCAGCAGCAGCUCCAGUGAAGGCUUCACAAGUUUACCCAACUCUAGCACUAACCAACUUUUCAGAGUCCUUUCUCUCCAAUAGUCAUCUUUGUGUAAAGAGCCGAAAAGCAAAUGUUCCAAUUCACAAAAAGGCUCUUCUGUAAAAGGAUUUGUAUGAGAUCAAAAGGGUUUCUAACUGGGACAGACCUGCAAGCUUGGAGUGCUGUGCUUUUCUGGCAUGUGCUGUAAUUAAUAAAUACACUGAACAUUACAUAUAAUCUGCAUAUUAGUGACCCAAUGCACAAUUCAUAUGGUAAUGCCAUUAAUUGCAUAUUACCUAGGCUGCUUAAUGAACAUUACAUAGGUUUCUAAUGGAUGUAGUUAUUAUAAUUGAGUUCAAUUAUAUCCCUGCCAUGCAUAUGAGGUCAAUAGACUAGCUCGACCCCACAAGGUCUGGGAGAAAGGAAACAGGUGUUUAUAGUGAGGGCAAUUUGUGAGCUGGAGCAGAGGGAAGGGAGAGGCCAAGGGCCAGAGAUGACUUGCUUGGCUGGACACUUUUUAGGGCCUGGAUAGUGGUGCACAAAGCUGGGUAAACAGCAGGCAGUCUAUGCACAAAGGCAGGAUCUCCUGCUUGCCCCUCUGCCAUGGGUUUGGAACAGGGCACCCGACUGGAGCCCUGAAGCCAGCCACACCCACGCUGUAACAGGACACUUUCUUCUAGGCUGACCCAAAGCCAACGGGCAGUUGCAUCACUUCCUCUGGCAGAGUGGAGGCCACAUGAUUCUAGCAUCUGGGCUUGCCAAGGGAUGCAGGGGAGCCCUGCCUGCCCAUGAUGCUGGCGCAGAAGGCCCUGAGCCUGGUGUUGCUUCUUUUCUCCAAAUUCUGUGUCUGGAGCGGAAGAGGCAAAACUGCUGCUCCCAUAUUCUGGGUGCUCACAGCCUCUAAAAGAGAUAACCCCAUGUGGACAGAAAACUAGGGAGUGAAGAGGCAUCAGAGUUCCAGACACUUGCCUUCCUAAAAAAGAGAAAGACCCUGACAGAGCAACAGGCCUGACCUUCACACCUAAGUGACCCAAGGUCACAGAGAGGCUGAGGGGCCAUGGGACUCCAGUGAAGCAGGAGUAUUCAUCCAGCCACAGAGGUAGGACCAGUCCAAAUGGGAUCUGUCUGUUCCAAAGGUUAUUCUCCUUGAGCUCAAUCCAGCAGAUCCUGUCCCACUUGGAACCUGGCUAUGAGUGAGAAAACAUCUGUGGUUGGAAAAUGGGGCUGGUAAUUCAGGCCUGUUUGGGACUUGAAGAAGAUGCUCUUGAAUGCUUUGCUCAACAAACACCUCCCUUCUGCAAGGAGGUGAGAGGUCAUCUGUCUGUCUGCUUUGACAUUUUCACCCAGUGAACUUCAGGGCUUAAGACACCUUCCCCAUAAGUUGGACUGAGCUCGGCACAAACUGUCCCUGAAUUUGACCAUAACUGACUCACCAAAGGUCUGAAUAGGGGAGAAGGCAAAAGCAGACAAACAGGCACUGAGUACUUUGCCAUCCCAGACCUGUGUCAUGUAAACAGGCUGUCUGCUUCACAGCCAAGGAAUGAGCCCUGGACGUGGGUCGGAACUGGAGCCUUAACAGCUAAUACCCAGAGCCUUUGACUGUGGACGACUGUGUUCAAAGGGGCAGGCUGCCCACUACUAGGGCACAGAGGAGAGGCAGGAUGUGGGGAAAGAGUGUGGUUUUGGAAUCAGACACAACUGGUCCCCGCCACUUACUCAGCCUUGUGACCUUGGAUGAAAAAGUCUCUUAUUCUUUCUAAGGCUCAGUUUCCCCAACUGUGAAACUGACAUAACACUAUGGACUUCAAAAGGCUUUACAAGCAAAACAAUUUAUAAAACAAUUUAUUCAGGCACAUAGCACAGUGCUAGCACAUAGAUAUAUAAGUAAUAGUUUUUCCUCUGUUCCUUCAACGUGGAGGAGAGGCAUCUGUUGUCUCUUCAAGUUAAUUAAUUUGAAAAUACUCAAUAGCAACCAUUUCUUAAAUUCCUCUUAUGAGCCAUUUUAGUUUUGCAACAACUGCACAAUAGACAGUAUUAUUCCCAUUUUACAGAUAUGCACAUUGAGGCUCAGGGAGUACACCACAUAUAGUGACUUUGAUCUUCUCAUUGCCCUGACACUGAGGAGAGAGAGAUAACAAAAUCAAAAGGAACAGUUGGAGGAAGAAAUGUCAAAUAUAGGAGGCUGGAAGCAUAGUCUCUAACCUCAGUCUAGCCUUGGAUAAUAGCGUUUUCAUCUUGCUACAGUUGUAGCAGACACCGCUGGGUGCCCUCCCCUAUUUUAUUCAUUUGUAUGUUCAUUGAGCAAUUUAUCUAUUGCUAAUUCCUUAGCAAGCACUUACUGUGAGCUUCCUUUUAUUAUUACUAUUAUUAUUCAUUUUAGAGACAGGGCUAUGCCAUUAUGUGGCGUAGGCUGGAGGGCAGUGGCUAUUUACAGGUGUGAUCCCACUACUGAUCAGCAUGGGAGUUUUGACCUGAUUCAUUUCUGCCCUGGGCCCAUUUGCCCCUCCUUGGGCAACCUGUGAUGCCCCACUCCCAGGAGGUCACUGUACUGACGCUGAACUUAGUGUGGGCACCCCAUCGGCCCAGCACACUACAGCCCAAAACUCCUGUGCUCAAGUGAUCCUUCCACCACAGUCUUCCCAGCAGCUGGGACUACAGGUGCAUGCCAUUGUGCUCAGCUACUGUGAACUUCCUACGUCCUCAAAUCCUGCUACUCAAAACAUAAUUUCUAAGCCAGAAGCAUCAGCAUCACUGGGAGCUUAUUAGAAAUACUGAUUCCCAGGCCCAACCUCGGACCAACUGGACCAGAGAAUCUGCAUUAUAACAAGAUCCCUGGGUGAUUCACAGCAUAUAUGAAAAUCGCUAUCCUUAAUGCUUUUCUUUUUAUUUUUUUUCUUGUUUUUUUUUUGUUUGUUUUGUUUUUGUUUUUGUUUU